Molecule: RNA transcript, 3343 nt
Organism: Beta vulgaris subsp. vulgaris (sugar beet)
Lineage: Eukaryota; Viridiplantae; Streptophyta; Magnoliopsida; Caryophyllales; Amaranthaceae
Exons: 15
Source: RefSeq, a predicted model, not a curated record
UCAUAAAUUCAUAACUGUAUCUUCAAGUAUAUCAGCAAAAUUAUCAUACCCCAGUUCAAAUACUGUUCAUUGUUUGAUUUUGUUGAAUUGAUGCCUCGCUUUAUGUCUAUCUAUAUGUUUGAUUAUCAACCCAUGUUUUGUAUCUGUAAAACCCUUUAGUUUUGAUAUGCUUGUUUGCCAAAAAGAAGAAAUAUUUGGGUUAUUGUGCCAUUAUGCUAGCAAUUGUAUGAGAAGUUAAUUUGAUGAGAGUAAAGGAGUUCGGAUUUCAUGUAUGUAGAAUUUGGUGUAGAAUAUGUUCAAUAAGUGUAAGUUUUUCUCUGCUUAUCAAUAAGUGUAAGUUUUUCUUUAUGUCUGAAUAAUUAGGAUUGAUGCAAGCACUGAGCAUGGAGUCUGUGAUGUGCUAAUCAUUCCUCGAAUGAUUAAAUGUAGACUCCAUACGACGCCGGAUUUAUAUUGGGUUGUAUAUGUAUUGCUUUGAUUGGUGUAUGAGUGGACUAUGUGAUAUCAGAGAAAUAAUGGCAAUAAAUUUCGGGUUCAAGAUUAUAAGAUCAGCUGUCUGAAUUUUCUCUUAUAAGUUCGGCCAUUCUUACUUGUGUAGAAGGAAAGGGGGGGGGGGAGAAGGUUGGUUCAUUGGUGAUUGGGAACUGGGAAGAGUCGAAUGUUUUAGAUGCAGCGGCUUCUUUUGAUACGCACGUAGAGGUAAAUAAGGGUCAAGCUAGCACUUAGUCUACAUCUAUGUUGUAGGGACUUGGAUACUUGUGUUGGGGAUCUGGAUACGUGUCCAAGUAUCCAACUUGACUAAUUUAGGAUAACUAUAUUGGCCCAAAAAUGAAGAGUUAAAGUGUCGAUACGCAUGUCAGAGAGAGUUGAGAAUGUGGCACAAGUAGUUGAGGUAAUUGAAGAGUGAGUACUAUUGGUCAGUCAGGGUGUGUUCUUUUCUAUUUAUUUGUGUUCAACUGGACUUGUACAUGCUGAAUUGAAAUUAAGUUUACCUUUGUGUAUGAAACUGAAUCAAGUUAUCGAUCUAUUCUUCUUUGUUGUUACCAAACUUUUUUUCCUAUUGUUUUUGCUUUGUGAAAAGAGCACGCUCUACUUUAGCUCUUGCUUCUGCUAGCCUAGAGCCCUAGCCUCUGGUCAAUCUAGAUGUCCUCUAAUCUAUGAUGGUAUUGGGUAUAUGUGACUACUUAUUGGUUAGCUUCUUGCUGAGUGCUCACAGUGACAGUUCAGACAUCAUGGAGAACCGUGAUUUCGACAGUGACAAUCACUUUGAAGAUUGUCUGAUCAAACUGAGGGUCAAUCCUAAAAGGAGGCGGGAUAAAGUAUAUGUUGGUUGUGGAGCUGGCUUUAGUGGUGACAGGCCAAUGGCAGCUUUGAAGUUGCUUCAAAGUGUGAAGGAGCUUAACUACAUUGUACUUGAAUGUCUUUCUGAGCGCACUCUGCUUGACCGAUACAAGGAGAUGAUAUCUGGCGGGGAUGGUUAUGACCCACGCAUUUCGGAAUGGAUGCAUUUGCUCUUGCCUCUAGCUGUGGAAAGAGGAACAUGCAUAAUCACAAAUAUGGGAGCAAUGGACCCAAUUGGUGCUCAGGAAAAGGUCCUUCAAAUAGCGAGCAGUCUGGGGCUUAGCAUAAGAGUUGCUGUUGCACAUGAAAUUAACUCCAAAGAUUUAGGGUCAAGAUCCUCGCAUAACAUAUCUUCUGUCAUCAAUGGUGGCGUUAGCACAUAUCUUGGAGCGGCACCAAUUGUCAGGUGCCUUGAGUUACAUGAGCCAAAUGUCAUCAUUACAAGUCGUGUGGCAGAUGCUGCUCUAUUCUUAGGCCCAAUGGUUUAUGAACUGGGCUGGAACUGGGAUGAUCUGGAGCAGCUAGCACAAGGAACUUUAGCAGGCCAUCUUUUAGAGUGUGGUGGUCAGCUGACUGGAGGUUUUUUUAUGCAUCCAGGAGACAAACACAGAGAUAUAUCUUUUCAAUGUCUUCUAAAUUUACCACUUCCAUAUGCUGAAAUCAGUUAUCAGGGAGAGAUAUGUGUGGCGAAGGCUGAUGGUAGUGGCGGUGUUUUGAACUUCGGUACUUGUGCGCAGCAGCUUCUCUAUGAGAUUACAGAUCCAAGUGCUUAUAUUACUCCUGAUAUGGUGUUGGACAUGCGUGAUGUGACUUUCAAACCCCUGUCUAGCACCAAGAUUCUCUGCACUGGAGCAAAACCUUCAACUAUAUCGACUCCUGAGAAACUUCUGCAACUAGUGCCAAAGGAAUCUGGAUGGAAAGGGUGGGGAGAAAUAUCAUAUGGAGGCUAUGAAUGUGUAAAACGCGCGAGGGCAGCUGAAUACCUGGUUAGAUGUUGGAUGGAAGAAUCAUAUCCAGGUAUAAAUAGCCGCAUAAUUUCUUAUAUCAUUGGACUUGAUAGCCUGAAAGCAGUCAGCAGUGAUAGUAUCACGUCAAUAGCGGCUGGCUGCCGAGACAUAAGGCUACGCAUGGAUGGGCUAUUUGAGGCUGAGGAACAUGCAAUCAAAUUUGUUAGAGAGUUCAUUGCUUUAUAUACAAAUGGCCCUGCUGGUGGUGGUGGUAUAAGUACUGGGCACAAGAAAGAAGUACUUUUGGCGAAAGAACUGGUUGGACGUGAGUCUAUCUUCUGGCAUAUUGGGUCUAAGAGAACAAACAUAGCCAACACACAUAACUCGGAACACAGUAACAUAAAGGACGUCAAAAUAGGAACAUCCUUUUUAAACAAAUUAGUCUCAUUGCCCGAUGGCCUUACUGAUUUGUCAGAUCAGAAUGCGGAAUAUUUAUCUGGUGAAUACCUAAGAUCUCCUGCACCAUCAGGCAAGAAAAUUCCUCUGUAUGAAAUUGCACAUAGCAGAAUCGGAGAUAAAGGAAACGACCUGAACUUUUCCGUCAUCCCCCAUUUCCCCGAAGAUAUUAAGAGGCUGCAGAUGAUUAUAAAUCCUGAAUGGGUGAAAGAAGUGCUGUCUCCUCUUUUGAACCCAUGUCCAUUUCCACAUUCAGAUGCCAUUCUAAAGAGAGAUAAAUGGCUCGAAGAAAAUGUGAAAGUGGAGAUAUAUGAGGUUAAGGGUAUUCAUUCCUUAAAUGUUGUGGUUCGCAAUAUUCUUGAUAGUGGUGUAAAUUGCUCUCGGAGGAUUGAUCGACAUGGGAAGACUAUAUCGGAUAUCAUACUUUCCCAACAAGUUGUGUUGCCUUAACCAUUCAGCAACUAAGUAUGAUCUGUUGUGGCCUUGUGGGCAGAGUCGUAUAUCUCCUUGGCUCCUCAUGAUGUGCAAAAGUUUGCUAAUUAUUUGUUGCUGAUCAUAGUCUGUCCUGAUAUUCAAUAAUAAAAACAAUUUGUAGAAAU